UUUAUUGGAGAGUUUGAUCCUGGCUCAGGACGAACGCUGGCGGCGUGCCUAAUACAUGCAAGUCGAGCGAAUCUGAGGGAGCUUGCUCCUAAAGAUUAGCGGCGGACGGGUGAGUAACACGUGGGCAACCUGCCUGUAAGACUGGGAUAACUUCGGGAAACCGGAGCUAAUACCGGAUAAUCCUUUUCUACUCAUGUAGAAAAGCUGAAAGAUGGCUUCGGCUAUCACUUACAGAUGGGCCCGCGGCGCAUUAGCUAGUUGGUGAGGUAACGGCUCACCAAGGCGACGAUGCGUAGCCGACCUGAGAGGGUGAUCGGCCACACUGGGACUGAGACACGGCCCAGACUCCUACGGGAGGCAGCAGUAGGGAAUCUUCCGCAAUGGACGAAAGUCUGACGGAGCAACGCCGCGUGAGUGAUGAAGGUUUUCGGAUCGUAAAACUCUGUUGUUAGGGAAGAACAAGUACCGUUCGAAUAGGGCGGUACCUUGACGGUACCUAACCAGAAAGCCACGGCUAACUACGUGCCAGCAGCCGCGGUAAUACGUAGGUGGCAAGCGUUGUCCGGAAUUAUUGGGCGUAAAGCGCGCGCAGGUGGUUUCUUAAGUCUGAUGUGAAAGCCCCCGGCUCAACCGGGGAGGGUCAUUGGAAACUGGGAGACUUGAGUGCAGAAGAGGAAAGUGGAAUUCCAAGUGUAGCGGUGAAAUGCGUAGAGAUUUGGAGGAACACCAGUGGCGAAGGCGACUUUCUGGUCUGUAACUGACACUGAGGCGCGAAAGCGUGGGGAGCGAACAGGAUUAGAUACCCUGGUAGUCCACGCCGUAAACGAUGAGUGCUAAGUGUUAGAGGGUUUCCGCCCUUUAGUGCUGCAGCAAACGCAUUAAGCACUCCGCCUGGGGAGUACGGCCGCAAGGCUGAAACUCAAAGGAAUUGACGGGGGCCCGCACAAGCGGUGGAGCAUGUGGUUUAAUUCGAAGCAACGCGAAGAACCUUACCAGGUCUUGACAUCCUCUGACAAUCCUAGAGAUAGGACGUUCCCCUUCGGGGGACAGAGUGACAGGUGGUGCAUGGUUGUCGUCAGCUCGUGUCGUGAGAUGUUGGGUUAAGUCCCGCAACGAGCGCAACCCUUGAUCUUAGUUGCCAGCAUUCAGUUGGGCACUCUAAGGUGACUGCCGGUGACAAACCGGAGGAAGGUGGGGAUGACGUCAAAUCAUCAUGCCCCUUAUGACCUGGGCUACACACGUGCUACAAUGGAUGGUACAAAGGGCUGCAAGACCGCGAGGUUUAGCCAAUCCCAUAAAACCAUUCUCAGUUCGGAUUGCAGGCUGCAACUCGCCUGCAUGAAGCCGGAAUCGCUAGUAAUCGCGGAUCAGCAUGCCGCGGUGAAUACGUUCCCGGGCCUUGUACACACCGCCCGUCACACCACGAGAGUUUGUAACACCCGAAGUCGGUGGGGUAACCGCAAGGAGCCAGCCGCCUAAGGUGGGACAGAUGAUUGGGGUGAAGUCGUAACAAGGUAGCCGUAUCGGAAGGUGCGGCUGGAUCACCUCCUUUCUAA
Molecule: ribosomal RNA, 1556 nt
Filed under: Cytobacillus solani
Lineage: Bacteria; Bacillati; Bacillota; Bacilli; Caryophanales; Bacillaceae
Description: bacterial SSU rRNA
Rfam family: Bacterial small subunit ribosomal RNA
Source: RNAcentral